GACGAACCGUGCGAACGUUGUUCGGAAUCACUGGGCUCAAAGGGCGCGUAGGCGGGCCUCCAAGUCCGGGGUGAAAUCCUCCAGCCUAACUGGAGAAGAGCCUCGGAGACUGGGGGCCUCGAGGGAGGUAGGGGCGUGCGGAACUAUGGGUGGAGCGGUGAAAUGCAUUGAUAUCCAUAGGAACUCCGGUGGCGAAGGCGGCACGCUGGACCUCUUCUGACGCUGAGGCGCGAAAGCCAGGGGAGCAAACGGG
Molecule: ribosomal RNA, 253 nt
Filed under: uncultured bacterium
Lineage: Bacteria
Description: partial 16S ribosomal RNA
Rfam family: Bacterial small subunit ribosomal RNA
Source: RNAcentral